RNAcentral lists this ribosomal RNA (252 nucleotides) under uncultured bacterium. RNAcentral describes it as "partial 16S ribosomal RNA". It matches the Rfam family "Bacterial small subunit ribosomal RNA", at positions 524 to 776 of the family's 1533-position model. The record is from RNAcentral.
UACGUAGGGUGCAAGCGUUAAUCGGAAUUACUGGGCGUAAAGCGUGCGCAGGCGGUUAUGUAAGACAGAUGUGAAAUGCCCGGGCUUAACCUGGGAACUGCAUUUGUGACUGCAUGGCUAGAGUUGGCAGAGGGGGGUAGAAUUCCACGUGUAGCAGUGAAAUGCGUAGAUAUGUGGAGGAACACCGAUGGCGAAGGCAGCCCCCUGGGUCAAGACUGACGCUCAUGCACGAAAGCGUGGGGAGCAAACAGG